RNAcentral lists this ribosomal RNA (382 nucleotides) under Florenciella parvula. RNAcentral describes it as "partial Bacterial small subunit ribosomal RNA". It matches the Rfam family "Bacterial small subunit ribosomal RNA", at positions 11 to 390 of the family's 1533-position model. The record is from RNAcentral. Lineage: Eukaryota; Dictyochophyceae; Florenciellales.
GUUUGAUCCUGGCUCAGGAUGAACGCUAGCGGCAGGCUUAACACAUGCAAGUCGAGGGGUAACAGGAGUGCUUGCACUCGCUGACGACCGGCGCACGGGUGCGUAACGCGUAUGAAACCUACCUAAUACAGGGAGAUAGCCCAGAGAAAUUUGGAUUAAUACCCCAUAGUACUGUUGUAUCGCAUGAUAUAAUAGUUAAAGAUUUAUCGGUAUUAGAUGGUCAUGCGUUCUAUUAGUUAGUUGGUAAGGUAACGGCUUACCAAGGCAGCGAUAGAUAGGGGCCCUGAGAGGGGGAUCCCCCACACUGGUACUGAGACACGGACCAGACUCCUACGGGAGGCAGCAGUGAGGAAUAUUGGACAAUGGAGGGGACUCUGAUCCA